Molecule: ribosomal RNA, 501 nt
Filed under: uncultured bacterium
Lineage: Bacteria
Description: bacterial SSU rRNA
Rfam family: Bacterial small subunit ribosomal RNA
Source: RNAcentral
AUUGAACGCUGGCGGCAUGCCUUACACAUGCAAGUCGAACGGUAACAGGUCUUCGGAUGCUGACGAGUGGCGAACGGGUGAGUAAUACAUCGGAACGUGCCCGAUCGUGGGGGGAUAACGGAGCGAAAGCUUUGCUAAUACCGCAUACGAUCUACGGAUGAAAGCAGGGGACCGCAAGGCCUUGCGCGGACGGAGCGGCCGAUGGCAGAUUAGGUAGUUGGUGGGAUAAAAGCUUACCAAGCCGACGAUCUGUAGCUGGUCUGAGAGGACGACCAGCCACACUGGGACUGAGACACGGCCCAGACUCCUACGGGAGGCAGCAGUGGGGAAUUUUGGACAAUGGGCGCAAGCCUGAUCCAGCCAUGCCGCGUGCAGGAUGAAGGCCUUCGGUUGGUAACUGCUUUUGUACGGAACGAAAGACUCUUUCUAAUAAAGAGGGUCCAUGACGGUACCGUAAGAAUAAGACACCGGCUAACUACGUGCCAGCAGCCGCGGUAAACG